This 253-nucleotide ribosomal RNA is filed under the name uncultured bacterium. RNAcentral describes it as "partial 16S ribosomal RNA". It matches the Rfam family "Bacterial small subunit ribosomal RNA", at positions 524 to 776 of the family's 1533-position model. The record is from RNAcentral.
UACGUAGGUGGCAAGCGUUGUCCGGAUUUACUGGGCGUAAAGCGCACGCAGGCGGCCGUGCACGUGGGGUGUGAAAGCGCUCGGCUUAACUGAGCGAGGCCAUCCCAUACGGCGCGGCUCGAGCGAUGCAGAGGUCCGCGGAAUUGCCGGUGUAGUGGUGAAAUGCGUAGAGAUCGGCAGGAACACCCAGGGGGAAGCCAGCGGACUGGGCAUCGGCUGACGCUCAGGUGCGACAGCGUGGGGAGCGAACCGG